Molecule: ribosomal RNA, 253 nt
Filed under: uncultured bacterium
Lineage: Bacteria
Description: partial 16S ribosomal RNA
Rfam family: Bacterial small subunit ribosomal RNA
Source: RNAcentral
UACGAAGGGGGCUAGCGUUGUUCGGAAUUACUGGGCGUAAAGCGCACGUAGGCGGAUCGAUCAGUCAGGGGUGAAAUCCCGAGGCUCAACCUCGGAACUGCCUUUGAUACUGGGGAUCUGGAGUCCGGGAGAGGUGAGCGGAACUGCGAGUGUAGAGGUGAAAUUCGUAGAUAUUCGCAAGAACACCAGUGGCGAAGGCGGCUCACUGGCCCGGAACUGACGCUGAGGUGCGAAAGCGUGGGGAGCAAACAGG